UGCGGAAGGAUCAUUAAAGAGUAAGGGUGCUCAGCGCCCGACCUCCAACCCUUUGUUGUUAAAACUACCUUGUUGCUUUGGCGGGACCGCUCGGUUCCGAGCCGCUGGGGAUUCGUCCCAGGCGAGUGCCCGCCAGAGUUAAACCAAACUCUUGUUAUUAAACCGGUCGUCUGAGUUAAAAUUUUGAAUAUAUCAAAACUUUCAACAACGGAUCUCUUGGUUCUCGCAUCGAUGAAGAACGCAGCGAAAUGCGAUAAGUAAUGUGAAUUGCAGAAUUCAGUGAAUCAUCGAAUCUUUGAACGCACAUUGCGCCCCUUGGUAUUCCGAGGGGCAUGCCUGUUCGAGCGUCAUUACACCACUCAAGCUAUGCUUGGUAUUGGGUGCCGUCCUUAGUUGGGCGCGCCUUAAAGACCUCGGCGAGGCCACUCCGGCUUUAGGCGUAGUAGAAUUUAUUCGAACGUCUGUCAAAGGAGAGGAACUCUGCCGAUUGAAACCUUUAUUUUUCUAGGUUGACCUCGGAUCAGGUAGGGAUACCCGCUGAACUUAA
Molecule: unclassified non-coding RNA, 547 nt
Filed under: Metschnikowia sp. JSKim-2014
Lineage: Eukaryota; Fungi; Ascomycota; Pichiomycetes; Serinales; Metschnikowiaceae
Description: partial contains 18S rRNA, ITS1, 5.8S rRNA, and ITS2
Rfam family: 5.8S ribosomal RNA (bases 197-350)
Source: RNAcentral